GGACCCUCAGAGACCCCUUGGGGACCCCUCAGGUCCCUCUAUGUCCCUUUUAGGACCCCUGGGGACCCCGCAAAGACAUUUGGGGACCCCUUAGGACCCCCCAGGUCCCCUUGAGGACCCCCAAGUCCCCUUUAGGACCCCCCAGUUCCCUUUUAGGACUCGUGGGGCCCCCCAGGUCCCCUUGAGGACCCCCAGAGGUCCUUUGAGGACCCCUCAGGUCUCUCUAUGUCCCUUUUAGGACCCCUGGGGACCCCGCAAAGACAUUUGGGGACCCCUUAGGACCCCCCAGGUCCCCUUUAGGACCCCCAAGUCCCCUUUAGGACCCCCCAGUUCCCUUUUAGGACCCGUGGGGCCCCCCCAGGUCCCCUUGAGGACCCCCAGAGGCCCCUUGGGGACCCCUCAGGUCCCUCUAUGUCCCUUUUAGGACCCCCUAGGACCC
Molecule: long non-coding RNA, 439 nt
Filed under: Numida meleagris (helmeted guineafowl)
Lineage: Eukaryota; Metazoa; Chordata; Aves; Galliformes; Numididae
Description: lncRNA (ENSNMEG00000003069.1)
Source: RNAcentral